UGUGUUCAUGCUGGGCUGUAGUGCUUAAGCCCAAGCCCAGAAUAUACUGCUUCUCCACUGGUCUGUUCAGCAAUCAGGAGCGAGAAUGCAUGGCAGGAGAAUGAUUACAGAAAUCGGAGUAACUUGAGGUUCGAGUAGCAUUGAAGAAUAUCAUGUAAAAGCAACAAAAACAAAAACAAAACUACAACACUUAUUUAUAAAUAAAUGAAGCAAGCAAGCGCGGAUGUAGGCGGCUGUGAGGCCAGGGAAGAAUGUGGCUUUUGCAUAAAUAGGAAGGAGCAGAAGAAGUUAGAAGAUAAAGGAAGUGAGAGGAAUUGAGCAGGUCAGCAGCUGUCUCACGGUUUUGCAGGGCCUAUUUUGGCAAAUCUGGCAUAUGCGGUCAUGCGUCAAGCUGGACUUUGUGGGGAGUCCUAUAUUUACCAGAGCAGGAGAUAAUGAAGGUGAUGCAGAUGGAACUGAGUCACCAGGCUUUGGGUGCCAUGAGAGACCACAUGGUCUGAUGGGGAGUCAUUUUCUCCAGGAAAGGGAGUGGCUCUUUGCCCUGAUGACUUCCGUUCUGUCCUUGGAUUGUAGGAAAGUAUAUGGGCUGGAAAGAUGAAGUCACGAAUAAGAGAGAGAGAGCAUGAGCAGGGGAGUGGCAGAGAGAGAGGGAGAGAGAGAACCCCAGCAGGCUCCGUGUUGCCAGUACAAAGCCUAAAGUGGGUCUCAAGCUCAUGAACCAUACUAUCAUGACCAAGAUUCCAACGUGUAACUGACUGAACCACCCAGGUGCCCCAAGGUUUCUUUGAUUUUCUCCUCCUCCUCAUUCUGCCUUUCUGUUAUACUACUUAUGUGUUUUUCCGAACUUUGGAGUGCCAAGUGCCAAAACAAUGGGCUUGCUGUGCUGUGGUUCUCCUGAUUAAAACUCCAGUCUUAAAAGUCCCAUGUUUCACCCUAUGGGUCCCAUCAAGACCCCCACAUUUGUGGUGAUGUACAAAAUAUCACUUUCAACAAUCAACUCAUGGUAAAGUUAUAAACCAAGUGUUUGUUCCCUAACGCUAGCAUUCAAAUGAGGUUGACCAUAAUGAAAUAUUGUCAGAUAUAUGAGCUCAAGGAUUUUCUUUCCUACUUCUCAUGUUCCAGGUCUAUUAAAUAAUUGAUGUUCACAACUGAAUGCACAGAGAACCCAUGGAUAUUUAUGUGGUUGAACCAAAAAGCUGAAUAUAGACCUUCCAAACAUAUGACAAUGUAUAAUUUGGGGCUAUCCGACAUGAACUUAAUACUGGAAAAGCAACUGAUGUUUUGCUAAGAACGUAGACUUCAAAUAUACUAGUAUACUUCUAAAUCAGAAGCAGAGUGUUGAAAUAACCUUGGAUCUAUGCUUUCUAUGAUUGCACUUACAACACCAUUUACUGUAGAAUCUAUUGCAAA
Long non-coding RNA from Leopardus geoffroyi (Geoffroy's cat), 1410 nucleotides. RefSeq lists it as uncharacterized. The transcript has 3 exons. The record is from RefSeq and is a predicted model, not a curated record. Lineage: Eukaryota; Metazoa; Chordata; Mammalia; Carnivora; Felidae.